Non-coding RNA from Camellia sinensis, 493 nucleotides. NCBI's taxonomy places the organism in Eukaryota, Viridiplantae, Streptophyta, Magnoliopsida, Ericales, Theaceae. The record is from RefSeq and is a predicted model, not a curated record.
UGGGUUGUUGAUGUAAUCGUGUUUGAAACACAUUUAUUUUUUUGUGUCUCUGUUUUUCUGAUUUUUACAGAGUUGGGAUUGAUCUUCCCACCAUUGAAGUCCGGUUCGAGCAUUUGAAUGUCGAUGCAGAAGCUUAUGUUGGUGGUAGAGCAUUUUCAACAAUUCUCAACUUUUCCAUUAAACUUUUUGAGGGGUUCUUGAACUACCUCCAUGUGGUUCCAAGUAGGAAGAAACCAUUAUCAAUCCUUCAUGAUGUUAGUGGAAUCAUCAAGCCUGGAAGGUCUUGCAAGCUUGCGUCCAUUUGAAGGCUUGGGAGCUCUCUGUGAGAUUUUGAAUGCCAUUUCAAUGAAGCCCUUGAGAAGAAGAUGCAAUGAGUUGUUCUGUUCUGUAGGUAGAUAUGACGGCAAUUUACAAUCUGUUCAUUGAAUAGUUGAAUGCUAUAAACAAUACUUGUAGCACCAGCCUUAUAAAUUAGAAAUGAUACUUUUGAAAU